GAUGAACGCUGGCGGCGUGCCUAAUACAUGCAAGUCGAGCGAACAGACGAGGAGCUUGCUCCUCAGACGUUAGCGGCGGACGGGUGAGUAACACGUGGAUAACCUACUUAUAAGACUGGGAUAACUUCGGGAAACCGGAGCUAAUACCGGAUAAUAUAUUGAACGGCAUGGUUCAAUAGUGAAAGACGGUUUUGCUGUCACUUAUAGAUGGAUCCGCGCCGCAUUAGCUAGUUGGUAAGGUAACGGCUUACCAAGGCAACGAUGCGUAGCCGACCUGAGAGGGUGAUCGGCCACACGGGAACUGAGACACGGUCCAGACUCCUACGGGAGGCAGCAGUAGGGAAUCUUCCGCAAUGGGCGAAAGCCUGACGGAGCAACGCCGCGUGAGUGAUGAAGGUCUUCGGAUCGUAAAACUCUGUUAUUAGGGAAGAACAAAUGUGUAAGUAACUAUGCACGUCUUGACGGUACCUAAUCAGAAAGCCACGGCUAACUACGUG
RNAcentral lists this ribosomal RNA (497 nucleotides) under uncultured bacterium. Its description in RNAcentral is "partial 16S ribosomal RNA". It matches the Rfam family "Bacterial small subunit ribosomal RNA", at positions 28 to 507 of the family's 1533-position model. The record is from RNAcentral.